GACGAACGCUGGCGGCGUGCCUAACACAUGCAAGUCGAGCGAAUGAAGUUCCUUCGGGACCGGAUUUAGCGGCGGACGGGUGAGUAACACGUGGGCAACCUGCCUCAUAGAGGGGAAUAGCCUUCCGAAAGGGAGAUUAAUACCGCAUAAGAUUGUAGUACCGCAUGGUACAGCAAUUAAAGGAGCAAUCCGCUAUGAGAUGGGCCCGCGGCGCAUUAGCUAGUUGGUGAGGUAACGGCUCACCAAGGCGACGAUGCGUAGCCGACCUGAGAGGGUGAUCGGCCACAUUGGGACUGAGACACGGCCCAGACUCCUACGGGAGGCAGCAGUGGGGAAUAUUGCACAAUGGGGGAAACCCUGAUGCAGCAACGCCGCGUGAGUGAUGACGGCCUUCGGGUUGUAAAGCUCUGUCUUCAGGGACGAUAAUGACGGUACCUGAGGAGGAAGCCACGGCUAACUACGUG
RNAcentral lists this ribosomal RNA (464 nucleotides) under uncultured bacterium. RNAcentral describes it as "partial 16S ribosomal RNA". It matches the Rfam family "Bacterial small subunit ribosomal RNA", at positions 28 to 507 of the family's 1533-position model. The record is from RNAcentral.